This 1070-nucleotide long non-coding RNA is filed under the name Homo sapiens (human). RNAcentral describes it as "HSALNT0401960". Lineage: Eukaryota; Metazoa; Chordata; Mammalia; Primates; Hominidae. The record is from RNAcentral.
GUGCAUCAUAUCUGGCAUGUGUUAAACGUUCAAUAAUGUUAAUUCUUAAGACAGUCUCAGCCCUUUCUCUUUGACCUCGUUGUGGAUGGGUAGAGACGACCCAGUUCCAUUUACAUCAUUACUUCCUAUCACUUAUUCCCAUCAUUCUUUUCCCAUUCUCUUAGACAUGCAGGGAAAUAGCAAUUUAAUUUUAAAAUUAGCAUUUAUCUUUGCCUCUCCACCUAGGUCGUGUGUCAUUAUAGCAGCUGUUUGGUGUUUAUCUGAGAAAGCUCUUUGGUUAAUAAUAUGCUAUUGGAUUGCUGUUGAGCGUCAAUUGGGAGGCAGCCUGGAAAACAGCACUAAGUAAAGUAAACACAGCCAUAACCUUUUCUUCUCUCUGCCUCUCAUGCUGCCUGAAAGAAGUACACAGCUUCUCUUUUUCCAUCACUAACUCAUAAAUGGAAGGAGCAGGUAAUAAAUAUCAUGGGGCUGAUGGGUUUCCAGGGAGCCUGAGAAAGAGUGAAGGAGGCUGCCGGAAAGCCAGAGCAGUGUGUGAAUGAACCUUAAAACUGUGACCGCCUCCCCCUUGUGCAGCCACGGGAGUAGGAUGACCCCCAGUUGACUGAGAAAGCGCACGUCACCAGAGGCAGCAAUGAGCCCCACCACCUGGCACCACCGCUAAUGGCUUUGGCUUCGGCAGAGAGCGGUGUCAGGGCUGCAGACGGAGCACAGAUGGGAGUGGCAUCCUACAAGAUCCCCAGCUCAGCGCUCACUUUUGUAGUGAAGACAUGCUUUAAAAUCAUCGAGUGUGCCUGCCUUUGAGAUUUGCAAGAGGAAGCAAAGAGCACGUUAAUGAAACUUGGGAGGAAACUGAAUUUAGAGCUGCUGCAAACACAGAAGUAAUGAAAGCAAACAUAAAGAUGUUAGAAGUGUGGUCAGGAAAUUAAAAAAAAAAGAGCUACAGCUUGGAAAAUAGAUUUUGAACAUUCGCAAAGACUGAUUUGCUCCAGGACUGUCUAGAACCACAUUCCCAGAAGUGUAUUCUGGGAGCAUUAGUCCUACCAGAUGCUCUACCAAAUAAAGGACUCUUG